Bos indicus x Bos taurus (hybrid cattle) is the source of this 394-nucleotide long non-coding RNA. NCBI's taxonomy places the organism in Eukaryota, Metazoa, Chordata, Mammalia, Artiodactyla, Bovidae. The record is from Ensembl.
CCAACCUCAGCUUCCUGUGGUCAGAGACUGCAGAGGGAAUGAACACACUUUUCUUCAAAUGAAAGCAAAAACCAGUUUGGGUAGCUUUCCUGGAGAGGAGCUGAGAUCUCACCAGUUCUGCAAGAGAAGCUGAACUGUCAAGUCACAGAUCUGAACAAGGAGGCAUCUAUUUCUUUCAACAAUAACUCAGGAAUAGCCAUGGGCCAAAAUGAAGGCAGUCCCUCUGGCUUACAGGAGCUGUGAGUCUCAAAGACUUCCUUUAUGCAGAGUGGAAGGAAACAGCCUGCCACACUCAAAACUGAAGGGAAAGCAGAGAUCAGGGCCUUCUUGGAUCACUGGUGAGAGCCUGUCACCAGGAAAGGUGAGCCCCGCAGGGAGCAAGAGCUACAACUAA